Molecule: long non-coding RNA, 1144 nt
Filed under: Ricinus communis (castor bean)
Lineage: Eukaryota; Viridiplantae; Streptophyta; Magnoliopsida; Malpighiales; Euphorbiaceae
Description: long non-coding RNA (RCOM_LNC003596)
Source: RNAcentral
UUAAGAUGAUAUGCCCGCAGGCAUUAUGUGAAAAAGUAGAUUUUAACUGCAUAACUAGAUUGAGUUAGAACCUCGUAGGCGAUGGGGUAAUCAUCGGACAUAGGCGCAUAUGCUUGACAAGUGAUAUUAGGCUUAAAGUGCUUUGUUAUUGUUAUUUUGAUCAGUAUUGCUAGGUGUUUAUUGAUGUUGAUGUGAUUGUCCGUGUUUGCAUCUUUAUUAUGAUCUCAAUCAGCCGUUAGAAAGAAAUGCCGCCACUAUCCAAAUAGACUGAUUGGGUUAGUAGCUAAUACUUAAUUUUGUUAAGUUGCAUGGCGGAGUUACUUCAUAGUUCUUGUUGGGUUAUUUUAGUUUUUUUGUCUGAAUUACUUUUUUUGUUUGAUGUUUGAAUUGCAUUGUUUGUAAUAUUGUCCGAUGAUUGUUUAAUUAGAAAUAUAAAAUUUAUUAAACUCUAAUUUGUUAAAAGUGGUAUGUGCUUGAAGAUUGGAGCUCGAAGAACAUAAGAUUUGCCUCGACACAUGUUAAGAUGAUGAACUGACCAUCAGUUAGAAGCUGAUACUUGAAAAGCUAAGUUGCUAAUUUUUAAUUUUAUUAAGUUGCAUGCUAGGGUUCCUUCAAAAGUCAUGUUCGGUUAUUUUACUUCUUUUGUUUGCUAAUUAGAAACUAAAAAUUUAUAAACUCUAAUUUCUGAAAAAUGGCAUGCGCUUGAAGGUUGGAGCUCGAAGAACAUGAGGUUUACGUCGGCACAAGUUAAGUUGAAGAACUGAUGAUUAGUUAGAAGCUGAUACUUGAAAAGUUAAGUUAUUUAUUCUUUAGCUAAAUAUAACUUUUUAAUUUCCUUAUUAUGUUUACUAUCUCAAUUUCUACUUCUAAGGUUAGUAGCUCUACCUCAUCUCUAAAUAAUUUCAUGAUAGGGUUAGUAGCUAAUUUUUAAUUUUAUUAAGUUGCAUGGUGGAGUCACUCCAAAAGUCAUGUUAGGUUUUUUUAAUAUUUUUGUUUGAAUAACUUCUUUUGUUUGAUGUUUGAAUUGAAUUUUUAUAAUAUAGUGUGAUGAUUGUUAAUUAGAAAUAGAAAUUUUAUAAACUCUAAUUUGUUAAAAUGUUAUGUGCUUGAAGGUUGGAGCUCGAAGAACAUAAGGUUUGCGUCG